GCUGACGACCGGCGCACGGGUGCGUAACGCGUAUACAAUCUGCCUUGUACUGAGGAAUAGCCCAGAGAAAUUUGGAUUAAUGCCUCAUAGUAUAUGUUUAUCACCUGAUUUACAUAUUAAAGGUUACGGUACAAGAUGAGUAUGCGUCCUAUUAGCUAGAUGGUGUGGUAACGGCACACCAUGGCUACGAUAGGUAGGGGCCCUGAGAGGGGGAUCCCCCACACUGGUACUGAGACACGGACCAGACUCCUACGGGAGGCAGCAGUGAGGAAUAUUGGACAAUGGAGGCAACUCUGAUCCAGCCAUGCCGCGUGCAGGAUGACUGCCCUAUGGGUUGUAAACUGCUUUUAUACGGGAAGAAACCCUGCUACGNGUAGCAGCUUGACGGUACCGUAAGAAUAAGGAUCGGCUAACUCCGUGCCAGCAGCCGCGGUAAUACGGAGGAUCCAAGCGUUAUCCGGAAUCAUUGGGUUUAAAGGGUCCGUAGGUGGAUAGUUAAGUCAGGGGUGAAAGUUUGCAGCUCAACUGUAAAAUUGCCUUUGAUACUGGUUAUCUUGAAUUAUUAUGAAGUGGUUAGAAUAUGUAGUGUAGCGGUGAAAUGCAUAGAUAUUACAUAGAAUACCAAUUGCGAAGGCAGAUCACUAAUAAUAUAUUGACACUGAUGGACGAAAGCGUGGGUAGCGAACAGGAUUAGAUACCCUGGUAGUCCACGCCGUAAACGAUGGAUACUAGCUGUUCGAA
This 741-nucleotide ribosomal RNA is filed under the name Bacteroidetes bacterium SCGC AAA164-L19. RNAcentral describes it as "bacterial SSU rRNA". It matches the Rfam family "Bacterial small subunit ribosomal RNA", at positions 87 to 828 of the family's 1533-position model. Lineage: Bacteria; Pseudomonadati; Bacteroidota. The record is from RNAcentral.